This 253-nucleotide ribosomal RNA is filed under the name uncultured bacterium. Its description in RNAcentral is "partial 16S ribosomal RNA". It matches the Rfam family "Bacterial small subunit ribosomal RNA", at positions 524 to 776 of the family's 1533-position model. The record is from RNAcentral.
UACGUAGGGUGCGAGCGUUAAUCGGAAUUACUGGGCGUAAAGCGUGCGCAGGCGGUUCGUUAAGUUCGUUGUGAAAGCCCCGGGCUCAACCUGGGAACUGCAAUGGAAACUGGCGGGCUUGAGUGUGGCAGAGGGGGGUGGAAUUCCGCGUGUAGCAGUGAAAUGCGUAGAGAUGCGGAGGAACACCGAUGGCGAAGGCAGCCCCCUGGGCCAACACUGACACUGAGGAGCGAAAGCCAGGGGAGCAAACGGG